This 505-nucleotide ribosomal RNA is filed under the name uncultured bacterium. Its description in RNAcentral is "partial 16S ribosomal RNA". It matches the Rfam family "Bacterial small subunit ribosomal RNA", at positions 28 to 507 of the family's 1533-position model. The record is from RNAcentral.
GACGAACGCUGGCGGCGUGCCUAAUACAUGCAAGUAGAACGCACAGUUUAUACCGUAGCUUGCUACACCAUAGACUGUGAGUUGCGAACGGGUGAGUAACGCGUAGGUAACCUGCCUGGUAGCGGGGGAUAACUAUUGGAAACGAUAGCUAAUACCGCAUAUUAUUGAUUAUUGCAUGAUAAUGGAUUGAAAGUUGCUAUUGCAUCACUACCAGAUGGACUUGCGUUGUAUUAGCUAGUAGGUGAGGUAACGGCUCACCUAGGCGACGAUACAUAGCCGACCUGAGAGGGUGAUCGGCCACACUGGGACUGAGACACGGCCCAGACUCCUACGGGAGGCAGCAGUAGGGAAUCUUCGGCAAUGGACGAAAGUCUGACCGAGCAACGCCGCGUGAGUGAAGAAGGUUUUCGGACCGUAAAGCUCUGUUGUAAGAGAAGAACGGGUGUGAGAGUGGAAAGUUCACACUGUGACGGUAUCUUACCAGAAAGGGACGGCUAACUACGUG